This 25-nucleotide transfer RNA is filed under the name Goggia gemmula. Its description in RNAcentral is "partial tRNA-Cys". Lineage: Eukaryota; Metazoa; Chordata; Lepidosauria; Squamata; Gekkonidae. The record is from RNAcentral.
GAAGCCCCGGCGCCCUUUGGGGUGC